GAAGUUUGGCAGCACAUAUACUAAAAUUGGAACGAUACAGAGAAGAUAGCAUGGCCCCUGUGCAAGGAUGACAUGCAAAUUCGUGAAGCAUUCCAUAUUUUU
RNAcentral lists this small nuclear RNA (102 nucleotides) under Myotis davidii. The record is from RNAcentral. Lineage: Eukaryota; Metazoa; Chordata; Mammalia; Chiroptera; Vespertilionidae.